This 910-nucleotide ribosomal RNA is filed under the name uncultured bacterium. Its description in RNAcentral is "bacterial SSU rRNA". It matches the Rfam family "Bacterial small subunit ribosomal RNA", at positions 33 to 925 of the family's 1533-position model. The record is from RNAcentral.
ACGCUGGCGGCGUGCCUAAUACAUGCAAGUAGAACGCUGAAGAGAGGAGCUUGCUCUUCUUGGAUGAGUUGCGAACGGGUGAGUAACGCGUAGGUAACCUGCCUUGUAGCGGGGGAUAACUAUUGGAAACGAUAGCUAAUACCGCAUAACAAUAGGUGACACAUGUCAUUUAUUUGAAAGGGGCAAUUGCUCCACUACAAGAUGGACCUGCGUUGUAUUAGCUAGUAGGUGAGGUAACGGCUCACCUAGGCGACGAUACAUAGCCGACCUGAGAGGGUGAUCGGCCACACUGGGACUGAGACACGGCCCAAACUCCUACGGGAGGCAGCAGUAGGGAAUCUUCGGCAAUGGGGGCAACCCUGACCGAUCAACGCCGCGUGAGUGAAGAAGGUUUUCGGAUCGUAAAGCUCUGUUGUAAGUCAAGAACGAGUGUGAGAGUGGAAAGUUCACACUGUGACGGUAGCUUACCAGAAAGGGACGGCUAACUACGUGCCAGCAGCCGCGGUAAUACGUAGGUCCCGAGCGUUGUCCGGAUUUAUUGGGCGUAAAGCGAGCGCAGGCGGUUUGAUAAGUCUGAAGUUAAAGGCUGUGGCUCAACCAUAGUUCGCUUUGGAAACUGUCAAACUUGAGUGCAGAAGGGGAGAGUGGAAUUCCAUGUGUAGCGGUGAAAUGCGUAGAUAUAUGGAGGAACACCGGUGGCGAAAGCGGCUCUCUGGUCUGUAACUGACGCUGAGGCUCGAAAGCGUGGGGAGCGAACAGGAUUAGAUACCCUGGUAGUCCACGCCGUAAACGAUGAGUGCUAGGUGUUGGAUCCUUUCCGGGAUUCAGUGCCGCAGCUAACGCAUUAAGCACUCCGCCUGGGGAGUACGACCGCAAGGUUGAAACUCAAAGGAAUUGACGGGGGCCCGCA